Molecule: ribosomal RNA, 460 nt
Filed under: uncultured bacterium
Lineage: Bacteria
Description: partial 16S ribosomal RNA
Rfam family: Bacterial small subunit ribosomal RNA
Source: RNAcentral
CCUACGGGUGGCAGCAGUGAGGAAUAUUGGUCAAUGGACGCAAGUCUGAACCAGCCAUGCCGCGUGAAGGAAGACGGCUCUAUGGGUUGUAAACUGCUUUUGUACGGGGGUAAACGCAGAUACGCGUAUCUGUCUGAAAGUAUCGUACGAAUAAGGAUCGGCUAACUCCGUGCCAGCCGCCGCGGUAAUACGGAGGAUUCAAGCGUUAUCCGGAUUUAUUGGGUUUAAAGGGUGCGUAGGCGGUCGGAUAAGUUAGAGGUGAAAUCCCGAGGCUCAACGUCGGAAUUGCCGCUGAUACUGGUCGGCUAGAGAGUAGUUGCGGUAGGCGGAAUGUAUGGUGUAGCGGUGAAAUGCUUAGAGAUCAUACAGAACACCGAUUGCGAAGGCAGCUUACCAAGCUACUUCUGACGUUGAGGCACGAAAGCGUGGGGAUCAAACAGGAUUAGAUACCCGGGUAGUC